GUGGCCUAACCCCUUGUGGGAGGGAGCUGUCGAAGGUGGGAUUGGCGAUUGGGACGAAGUCGUAACAAGGUAGCCGUACCGGAAGGUGCGGCUGGAUCACCUCCUUUCUAAGGAG
Molecule: ribosomal RNA, 115 nt
Filed under: Tsukamurella asaccharolytica
Lineage: Bacteria; Bacillati; Actinomycetota; Actinomycetes; Mycobacteriales; Tsukamurellaceae
Description: Tsukamurella sp. HKU71 partial 16S ribosomal RNA
Rfam family: Bacterial small subunit ribosomal RNA
Source: RNAcentral